This 253-nucleotide ribosomal RNA is filed under the name uncultured bacterium. Its description in RNAcentral is "partial 16S ribosomal RNA". It matches the Rfam family "Bacterial small subunit ribosomal RNA", at positions 524 to 776 of the family's 1533-position model. The record is from RNAcentral.
UACGUAGGUGGCAAGCGUUGUCCGGAAUUAUUGGGCGUAAAGCGCGCGCAGGCGGUCCUUUAAGUCUGAUGUGAAAGCCCACGGCUCAACCGUGGAGGGUCAUUGGAAACUGGGGGGCUUGAGUGCAGGAGAGGAGAGUGGAAUUCCACGUGUAGCGGUGAAAUGCGUAGAGAUGUGGAGGAACACCAGUGGCGAAGGCGACUCUUUGGCCUGUAACUGACGCUGAGGCGCGAAAGCGUGGGGAGCAAACAGG